UAGGGAGUAUUGCUUAAUGGGCGAAAGCCUGAAGCAGCAACGCCGCGUGUGUGAAGAAGGCCUUCGGGUUGUAAAACACUUUUUGAGGGGAUGAGGAAGGACAGUACCCUCAGAAUAAGCCUCGGCUAACUACGUGCCAGCAGCCGCGGUAAAACGUAGGAGGCGAGCGUUAUCCGGAUUUACUGGGCGUAAAGCGCGUGCAGGCGGCACGGCAAGUUGGAUGUGAAAGCUCCCGGCUUAACUGGGAGAGGUCGUUCAAAACUGCCGAGCUAGAGUGCGGGAGAGGGAGGUGGAAUUCCGGGUGCAGUGGUGAAAUGCGUAGAUAUCCGGAGGAACACCAGUGGCGAAAGCGGCCUCCUGGUCCGCAACUGACGCUUAGACGCGAAAGCUAGGGUAGCAAACGG
RNAcentral lists this ribosomal RNA (404 nucleotides) under uncultured bacterium. Its description in RNAcentral is "bacterial SSU rRNA". It matches the Rfam family "Bacterial small subunit ribosomal RNA", at positions 355 to 775 of the family's 1533-position model. The record is from RNAcentral.